This 275-nucleotide small nuclear RNA is filed under the name Catagonus wagneri (Chacoan peccary). RNAcentral describes it as "U2 spliceosomal RNA (ENSCWAG00000013882.1)". Lineage: Eukaryota; Metazoa; Chordata; Mammalia; Artiodactyla; Tayassuidae. The record is from RNAcentral.
AUCGCUUCUCGGCCUUUUGGCUAAGAUCAAGUGUAGGAAGAUGUAGAUAUAUAAAAUGCAACUGUGGCCUUUCAUUUUUAUCUAUUGCUCAUAUGGGAAAUUGAGGCCUAUUUGUUAUGGAAUUUGUAUAAAACCCAAGAGGAAAUUAAUGGCAUGGCUGUAACAGAUUAUUUUAACACUAUUUUUGACGUCUCUUAGGGAAAUUACUCAGCUGGCUUAAAUAUCUUCCACUUUUACAGUCUUUUCCAAUCCAUUUAUACCUGAGGCAAUCCAAC